GCUCCCAUAGGUCAAAGGUAGACCGCAGCAAUGGUAAUGCUGAAAUCGAAGUUCGAUUCUUCGUGGGAGCACCA
RNAcentral lists this transfer RNA (74 nucleotides) under Acholeplasmataceae bacterium. RNAcentral's name for it is "tRNA-Thr". It matches the Rfam family "tRNA". From Rfam's summary of the family: Transfer RNA (tRNA) molecules are approximately 80 nucleotides in length. Their secondary structure includes four short double-helical elements and three loops (D, anti-codon, and T loops). The record is from RNAcentral. Lineage: Bacteria; Bacillati; Mycoplasmatota; Mollicutes; Acholeplasmatales; Acholeplasmataceae.